Molecule: long non-coding RNA, 269 nt
Filed under: Solanum tuberosum (potato)
Lineage: Eukaryota; Viridiplantae; Streptophyta; Magnoliopsida; Solanales; Solanaceae
Description: long non-coding RNA (STUB_LNC011498)
Source: RNAcentral
AACCAUCUAAUACUUUAGAGUACAAAAUUCGGGACUAAUCCCGUACACAACUUAAACAAUACUAAAAAGACAUAAAAGAAUAUAUUGGGUAUUGUCCUCGAAUCUAUGAGGACUCACCAAGUCUUCAUCUUCAACACUUAGAACCUAUCAAAUAGCCAUGACAUGUCAUCAUCUCCAAAUCCCUACACUUUAGUUAAAAAGGGAAAGAAAGGGGUUAGCACAAUUAAGUACUAAGUAUGGAAGCCAUGCAAAAACAUGCUAAAAAGGAC